RNAcentral lists this transfer RNA (69 nucleotides) under Ictidomys tridecemlineatus (thirteen-lined ground squirrel). RNAcentral describes it as "Spermophilus tridecemlineatus (thirteen-lined ground squirrel) tRNA". It matches the Rfam family "tRNA". From Rfam's summary of the family: Transfer RNA (tRNA) molecules are approximately 80 nucleotides in length. The record is from Rfam by way of RNAcentral. Lineage: Eukaryota; Metazoa; Chordata; Mammalia; Rodentia; Sciuridae.
GGGGUUGUAGCUCAGUGGUAGAGCACUUGCCUAGUAUGUGUGAGGCCCUGGGUUCGAUCUCCAGCACCA